CCUUACUGAGGGAAACAAAUAUUUUGACUGCGAGUUAUCAAGCCCCACCUUCUCUAAGAUUUAUUUUAAGGGCAUUGUAUUAUUUCAGCAUGAGCAUCUGCCUCGAGUAUGGGACAGAAAAAAUUAGAUGGAGAAAAAGUAACUUCCGUCUUCUCCCGCGUUGCUUCUUGGAAGUUGCAGUUUCUUGGUGACAGAAUUUGAGCUCAAGACUACUACUGGCCAGCUGUGGCACACACCUAUGAUCUCAGGGGAGGAAGAUGGAGCCAGCGACACCAGGAGGGGGAAGGUGGCUUUUAGAAAGCUAAGUGCACAGAUCGCAGGAUUCCACAGUUACAGACUAGCGACUGUGCAGAUAAGCAAGUGUAUAAAGUAAGUGACGACUGCUUUAAGAACUUGCUGCAGGCAGGCACUGCUCAAAGGGCUUGGGAACACUCGGAAAUCAGUGUGCCACACGGGACAAAGGCAGGAUUUUAAACAGAAAGUAUGCAAGUAAUCACGAGGACGACACACCAGCUGAGUACAGCGUGAGCAACGAGAGCAAAGAAAUGGAAAACAAACUUCUGAGGGCUUCUCUGAAAGUUAAGCUUCAGAGAGAAUGUCCACUGAGAAUCUAAGAUGCUUGCUGUUCACUCACAAGAACUACCUACCCGCUCCAGGUUUCCUGAUACUUUUUUUCAAACAGAAGAAUUAAUCAGACAUGAAUUUGCCUAUACUUUUCCUACCCGUUUCAUGCAGUUUUUAAAAACUUAUUCCAUUGUUAGUUACCCACCUCAAAUUAUUCUGGGGUCAAAGUGCACGUACAGAAUCUAAAAUGGCCUUUAUAGGCUCUGCCGUAAGCAGUUAGACCCCCAUCCCUAGCAUGGACUGUGGUAGAUACUGAGAGUUAAAUGCUGCUUAUAGGUGCCUGAUUCCUCUUUGCUUCUGCCAAGCUACAGAAGUGUAGGAAGCACCUUACCUGGUUUCCAGGUUUGACCAGUCGUAAGGCAGCUUCCGCACAAAGAUGAGCUGCCUUAAUGACGUCUGCUUUCCGCCCUGUGACCUGGGUCCCCUGUGAAGAAACAGAACCACUGUCAUUCUGGACAGUCAAUUAUACAAGAGAGCCAGAAAGGCCUUCCAUUCGUUUCUCUAGAUACUCUAGAGUCAUGCGGUACUAGAGUGGAGAUGAAAACCCAAAUGGCAGCAUGCCCCUCCCCAAGACGACAAAGCUGAAAAGCAUGCUACCUACCUGAGCUACACCAAUCACAAAAGUGUGAGCCACGUUAGCAAUGAAGCCAUCCACAUGGACUCCAAGGUCACUGAAAGGCAAGAACAGAGCAGAGCACUGCAUUAGGAAACAACACCGUGAACAUGUCGGAAACGACAAAUUCUCUAGAAUGGUUUAACCUUACAUUUUUACCAAGUCACCUUCCUUGAGUAUAUAGUCCUGAUCACUCUUCAGAGGGGAGAAGUGACACACACAGUUAUUUACCGAAAUGCUGGUAGGAAAGGCAAUACCUGUAAAAAGAACCAUCAACCUUACUGCCUUGCUCUGUCUUGGGAACACUUGUUGCCCACAAAACUGAAGGGGUUUUUAUUCUAGGGACCUUGUUUCCUCAGAUUGGGAAGAAACUAUACCCAUCCCACUGCUACUCCAGACUUCCAGGGAUGGACAGAAAUUUCAGUGAGAGACGGGGCUGGAUGUGGGUCAAACGGGGAAGCUAAGAGGGGUUCUUUCCCUUUACCUUUCUUCAUUUCCUUCUCUUUCUUGAAGAUUUUCCCUGUCUCUUCCAUGAUCAUGGCAUCUCCUUUCUCACACAGGCUCAGUACUGACACACCUGAGCUGGCAGCGUCCACCAAAGACCGAAGUACCCCUGGGAACAGAACCCCACCAGGUCAGUCCUGCAUGCACUCAAAAUCUAAUUAGACCUAAAGUGGAAUUCAUUUUUCUAAUACUCCCUAGUGCCAAUGUUGAAAAGAGGAGAGGAAACAAAUUUUGUGUACAAUCUAUCCUCCUUUAAUGCCUACCUUUUUUGUUUGCUUGUUUUGCUUUUUUGAGACACCUCUGGCUGUCCUAGAACUCACUACAUAUACCAGGUUAGCCUGGAACUCAGAAACGAGCUUGCCUUUGUCUCCCCCAAACAAGUGCUGGCACAAACAACAACAACAACAAAAAACCCAAAAAAAAACCCAGAAAAAAAAACCAAAAAAACACCACCAACCUUACUUUCUACCUUUCCUUCCUAAAAAUAAAGGUUAGCGUUUACAGUUCUUUCAAUUAUCUGAUACCAGGGCAGAUGAAGGCCUCGCACCUUCCAAAGAUGUUAUAGUAUUCAGAAUCAUGGACGUUAGGGAACUGUGCCCAGAUACCCCAGAUGCACAGGCAAAGCCCAAGAAAUUUAUAGGCGUCGGGGACAUCGGGAAGGUACACAUAGAACUGCUGAGUCAAAGCUAAAGCAGUUUUAAAUGUUGCCUUCUUCCCUCCCCUAGACACACCAAUUAGGUGUUAGCAAUCACAAUUUAUGUAGAUGCAUUUCCCCAUAUACAAGUAUAUAAACCCAGGGGAAUUAAUCUAAGGUCUCAAAGGUUCAGGGGACUCAAGGUUUACUUUCAGUAGACAGCUUCAAAACUAUUAUAUGAAGUCUAUAUAAUGGUCUAAAGCUGUAAAUUGUAUGGACCGAAACUGUCCGAUUUAAACCAAUAAUACCAACUACUAAACCAUCACCCCAAAUAGGGCUAUUAUUUUGUAUAUGUCCUCUUUAUGAUCCACGGGAAUUCUAGCUUUGAUUUCUUUCGUCUUAUUUCGUUAUCUU
Molecule: non-coding RNA, 2789 nt
Organism: Myodes glareolus (Bank vole)
Lineage: Eukaryota; Metazoa; Chordata; Mammalia; Rodentia; Cricetidae
Source: RefSeq, a predicted model, not a curated record